RNAcentral lists this ribosomal RNA (497 nucleotides) under uncultured bacterium. RNAcentral describes it as "partial 16S ribosomal RNA". It matches the Rfam family "Bacterial small subunit ribosomal RNA", at positions 28 to 507 of the family's 1533-position model. The record is from RNAcentral.
GAUGAACGCUGGCGGCGUGCCUAAUACAUGCAAGUCGAGCGAACGGACGAGAAGCUUGCUUCUCUGAUGUUAGCGGCGGGCGGGUGAGUAACACGUGGAUAACCUACCUAUAAGACUGGGAUAACUUCGGGAAACCGUAGCUAAUACCGGAUAAUAUUUUGAACCGCAUGGUUGAAAAGUGAAAGACGGUCUUGCUGUCACUUAUAGAUGGAUCCGCGCUGCAUUAGCUAGUUGGUAAGGUAACGGCUUACCAAGGCAACGAUGCGUAGCCGACCUGAGAGGGUGAUAGGCCACCUUGGAACUGAGCCAGCGUCCAGACUCCUACGGGAGGCAGCAGUAGGGAAUCUUCCGCAAUGGGCGAAAGCCUGACGGAGCAACGCCGCGUGAGUGAUGAAGGUCUUCGGAGCGUAAAACUCUGUUAUUAGUGAAGAACAUAUGUGUAAGUAACUGUGCACAGCUUGACGGUACCUAAUCAGAAAGCCACGGCUAACUACGUG